Molecule: ribosomal RNA, 253 nt
Filed under: uncultured bacterium
Lineage: Bacteria
Description: partial 16S ribosomal RNA
Rfam family: Bacterial small subunit ribosomal RNA
Source: RNAcentral
UACGUAGGGGGCAAGCGUUGUCCGGAUUUAUUGGGCGUAAAGAGCGUGUAGGCGGCCUGACAGGUCUGCUGUGAAAACUCGAGGCUCAACCUCGAGAUGUCGGCGGAAACCGUCUGGCUAGAGUCCGGAAGAGGAGAGUGGAAUUCCUGGUGUAGCGGUGAAGUGCGCAGAUAUCAGGAAGAACACCUAUGGCGAAGGCAGCUCUCUGGGACGGUACUGACGCUGAGACGCGAAAGCGUGGGGAGCGAACAGG